RNAcentral lists this ribosomal RNA (465 nucleotides) under uncultured bacterium. RNAcentral describes it as "partial 16S ribosomal RNA". It matches the Rfam family "Bacterial small subunit ribosomal RNA", at positions 28 to 507 of the family's 1533-position model. The record is from RNAcentral.
GACGAACGCUGGCGGCGUGCUUAACACAUGCAAGUCGAACGGAAAGGCCCUGCUUGCAGGGUACUCGAGUGGCGAACGGGUGAGUAACACGUGGGUGAUCUGCCCUGCACUUCGGGAUAAGCCUGGGAAACUGGGUCUAAUACCGGAUAGGAGCCAUUUUUAGUGGGAUGGUUGGAAAGUUUUUUCGGUGUAGGAUGAGCUCGCGGCCUAUCAGCUUGUUGGUGGGGUAAUGGCCUACCAAGGCGGCGACGGGUAGCCGGCCUGAGUGGGUGGACGGCGACAUUGGGACUGAGAGACGGCCCAGACUCCUACGGGAGGCAGCAGUGGGGAAUAUUGCACAAUGGGCGCAAGCCUGAUGCAGCGACGCCGCGUGGGGGAUGACGGCCUUCGGGUUGUAAACUCAUUUCGCUAGGGACGAAGCUUUUUGUGACGGUACCUAGAUAAGAAGCACCGGCUAACUACGUG